RNAcentral lists this ribosomal RNA (497 nucleotides) under uncultured bacterium. RNAcentral's name for it is "partial 16S ribosomal RNA". It matches the Rfam family "Bacterial small subunit ribosomal RNA", at positions 28 to 507 of the family's 1533-position model. The record is from RNAcentral.
GAUGAACGCUGGCGGCGUGCCUAAUACAUGCAAGUCGAGCGAACGGACGAGAAGCUUGCUUUUCUGAUGUUAGCGGCGGACGGGUGAGUAACACGUGGAUAACCUACCUAUAAGACUGGGAUAACUUCGGGAAACCGGAGCUAAUACCGGAUAAUAUUUUGAACCGCAUGGUUCAAAAGUGAAAGACGGUCUUGCUGUCACUUAUAGAUGGAUCCGCGCUGCAUUAGCUAGUUGGUAAGGUAACGGCUUACCAAGGCAACGAUGCAUAGCCGACCUGAGAGGGUGAUCGGCCACACUGGAACUGAGACACGGUCCAGACUCCUACGGGAGGCAGCAGUGGGGAAUCUUCGGCAAUGGGCGAAAGCCUGACGGAGCAACGCCGCGUGGGUGAUGAAGGUCUUCGGAUCGUAAAACUCUGUUAUUGGGGAAGAACAUAUGUGUAAGUAAAUGUGGACAUCUUGACGGUACCUAAUCAGAAAGCCACGGCUAACUUCGUG